UUAAAUGCGAUGAAAAGAAGAGUACAUCCAAGAAACAUUCAAAGAGAGCUGUGAUUUGGUGAAAAGCGGCAAUGCAGGCGGGAUGGAAAAUGAUCUUUGAGCAGAUCAGGUGAAUGAUAACUCACAAGCUUGGUCCGGAUGCAUCCGAUAUCGUGCCGCAGUAUACAGAUUAAGGAAUUGUCUAAGUACUGGAUGAGGUGAUAUACGCGAGUAUAUGACGAAUAAAGGUGGUAACACGAGAGCUGAAGCUUUUGUCCUUUGG
RNAcentral lists this non-coding RNA (262 nucleotides) under Marinilactibacillus sp. RNAcentral describes it as "T-box sequence". It matches the Rfam family "T-box leader". Rfam says of the family: Uncharged tRNA acts as the effector for transcription antitermination of genes in the T-box leader family. T-boxes are found upstream of many aminoacyl-tRNA synthetase genes and some amino acid biosynthetic genes usually in Gram-positive bacteria. Lineage: Bacteria; Bacillati; Bacillota; Bacilli; Lactobacillales; Carnobacteriaceae. The record is from RNAcentral.